CAGUAGCCACGGUAAAACGUAGGGUGCGAGCGUUAAUCGGAAUUACUGGGCGUAAAGGGCUCGCAGGCGGUUUCUUAAGUCUGAUGUGAAAGCCCCCGGCUCAACCGGGGAGGGUCAUUGGAAACUGGGAAACUUGAGUGCAGAAGAGGAGAGUGGAAUUCCACGUGUAGCGGUGAAAUGCGUAGAGAUGUGGAGGAACACCAGUGGCGAAGGCGACUCUCUGGUCUGUAACUGACGCUGAGGAGCGAAAGCGUGGGGAGCGAACAGGAUUAGAUACCCCGGUAGUCCCUGUCUCUUAUAC
RNAcentral lists this ribosomal RNA (301 nucleotides) under uncultured bacterium. RNAcentral's name for it is "partial 16S ribosomal RNA". It matches the Rfam family "Bacterial small subunit ribosomal RNA", at positions 509 to 807 of the family's 1533-position model. The record is from RNAcentral.